GCUGGCGGCGUGCUUAACACAUGCCAGUCGAACGGACAGGCCCUGCUUUUGUGGGGUGCUCGAGUGGCGAACGGGUGAGUAACACGUGAGUAACCUGCCCUUGACUUUGGGAUAACUUCAGGAAACUGGGGCUAAUACCGGAUAGGAGCUCCUGCUGCAUGGUGGGGGUUGGAAAGUUUCGGCGGUUGGGGAUGGACUCGCGGCUUAUCAGCUUGUUGGUGGGGUAGUGGCUUACCAAGGCUUUGACGGGUAGCCGGCCUGAGAGGGUGACCGGCCACAUUGGGACUGAGAUACGGCCCAGACUCCUACGGGAGGCAGCAGUGGGGAAUAUUGCACAAUGGGCGGAAGCCUGAUGCAGCAACGCCGCGUGCGGGAUGACGGCCUUCGGGUUGUAAACCGCUUUCGCCUGUGACGAAGCGUGAGUGACGGUAAUGGGUAAAGAAGCACCGGCUAACUACGUG
Molecule: ribosomal RNA, 461 nt
Filed under: uncultured bacterium
Lineage: Bacteria
Description: partial 16S ribosomal RNA
Rfam family: Bacterial small subunit ribosomal RNA
Source: RNAcentral